GCCGCCGUAGCUCAGCGGUCAGAGCGCCCGGCUCAUAGCAUGGGCUAUGAGCUCUGACCCGAAAGGGGAUGAUCUCGGGGGCUCUUAUGCCCCCUCGUGAGAAACCGGGAGGUCGCGGGUUCGAAUCCCGCCGGCGGCA
Molecule: transfer RNA, 139 nt
Filed under: Nanoarchaeum equitans Kin4-M
Lineage: Archaea; Nanobdellati; Nanobdellota; Candidatus Nanoarchaeia; Nanoarchaeales; Nanoarchaeaceae
Rfam family: tRNA
About the family: Transfer RNA (tRNA) molecules are approximately 80 nucleotides in length. Their secondary structure includes four short double-helical elements and three loops (D, anti-codon, and T loops).
Source: Rfam by way of RNAcentral